AAUAGAUACCCGGUAGUCCAUGCCGUAAACGAUGUCUACUAGCCGUUGGGGCCCUUGAGGCUUUAGUGGCGCAGCUAACGCGAUAAGUAGACCGCCUGGGGAGUACGGUCGCAAGACUAAAACUCAAAUGAAUUGACGGGGGCCCGCACAAGCGGUGGAGCAUGUGGUUUAAUUCGAUGCAACGCGAAGAACCUUACCUGGCCUUGACAUACAGAGAACUUUCCAGAGAUGGAUUGGUGCCUUCGGGAACUCUGAUACAGGUGCUGCAUGGCUGUCGUCAGCUCGUGUCGUGAGAUGUUGGGUUAAGUCCCGCAACGAGCGCAACCCUUUUCCUUAUUUGCCAGCACUUCGGGUGGGAACUUUAAGGAUACUGCCAGUGACAAACUGGAGGAAGGCGGGGACGACGUCAAGUCAUCAUGGCCCUUACGGCCAGGGCUACACACGUGCUACAAUGGUCGGUACAAAGGGUUGCUACGUGCGCGAGCAGAUGCUAAUCUCAAAAAAGCCGAUCGUAGUCCGGAUCGCAGU
This 528-nucleotide ribosomal RNA is filed under the name uncultured bacterium. RNAcentral's name for it is "bacterial SSU rRNA". It matches the Rfam family "Bacterial small subunit ribosomal RNA", at positions 777 to 1304 of the family's 1533-position model. The record is from RNAcentral.